RNAcentral lists this ribosomal RNA (430 nucleotides) under Capnocytophaga gingivalis. RNAcentral describes it as "bacterial SSU rRNA". It matches the Rfam family "Bacterial small subunit ribosomal RNA", at positions 28 to 460 of the family's 1533-position model. The record is from RNAcentral. Lineage: Bacteria; Pseudomonadati; Bacteroidota; Flavobacteriia; Flavobacteriales; Flavobacteriaceae.
GAUGAACGCUAGCGGCAGGCCUAACACAUGCAAGUCGAGGGAGAAGCCCUUUCGGGGGCAGAAACCGGCGCACGGGUGCGUAACGCGUAUGCAACCUACCUUUCACAGGGGGAUAGCCCGAAGAAAUUUGGAUUAAUACCCCAUAAUAUUGUUGGAUGGCAUCAUUUGGCAAUUAAAGCUACGACGGUGGAAGAUGGGCAUGCGUCCUAUUAGCUAGUUGGAGUGGUAACAGCACCCCAAGGCUACGAUAGGUAGGGGUCCUGAGAGGGAGAUCCCCCACACUGGUACUGAGACAGGGACCAGACUCCUACGGGAGGCAGCAGUGAGGAAUAUUGGUCAAUGGUCGGAAGACUGAACCAGCCAUGCCGCGUGCAGGAAGAAUGCCUUAUGGGUUGUAAACUGCUUUUAUAUGGGAAGAAUAAGGUGUACG